Molecule: ribosomal RNA, 306 nt
Filed under: Salmonella enterica
Lineage: Bacteria; Pseudomonadati; Pseudomonadota; Gammaproteobacteria; Enterobacterales; Enterobacteriaceae
Description: bacterial LSU rRNA
Rfam family: Bacterial large subunit ribosomal RNA
Source: RNAcentral
GCACUGUUUCGGCUAGGGGGCCAUCCCGGCUUACCAACCCGAUGCAAACUGCGAAUACCGGAGAAUGUUAUCACGGGAGACACACGGCGGGUGCUAACGUCCGUCGUGAAGAGGGAAACAACCCAGACCGCCAGCUAAGGUCCCAAAGUCAUGGUUAAGUGGGAAACGAUGUGGGAAGGCCCAGACAGCCAGGAUGUUGGCUUAGAAGCAGCCAUCAUUUAAAGAAAGCGUAAUAGCUCACUGGUCGAGUCGGCCUGCGCGGAAGAUGUAACGGGGCUAAACCAUGCACCGAAGCUGCGGCAGCGA